RNAcentral lists this ribosomal RNA (843 nucleotides) under Arthrobacter sp. Its description in RNAcentral is "bacterial SSU rRNA". It matches the Rfam family "Bacterial small subunit ribosomal RNA", at positions 25 to 879 of the family's 1533-position model. Lineage: Bacteria; Bacillati; Actinomycetota; Actinomycetes; Micrococcales; Micrococcaceae. The record is from RNAcentral.
UAGGAGAACGCUGGCGGCGUGCUUAACACAUGCAAGUCGAACGAUGAUCUCCAGCUUGCUGGGGGGAUUAGUGGCGAACGGGUGAGUAACACGUGAGUAACCUGCCCUUGACUCUGGGAUAAGCCUGGGAAACUGGGUCUAAUACCGGAUACGACCAUUCCGCGCAUGCGGUGGUGGUGGAAAGCUUUUGCGGUUUUGGAUGGACUCGCGGCCUAUCAGCUUGUUGGUGGGGUAAUGGCCUACCAAGGCGACGACGGGUAGCCGGCCUGAGAGGGUGACCGGCCACACUGGGACUGAGACACGGCCCAGACUCCUACGGGAGGCAGCAGUGGGGAAUAUUGCACAAUGGGCGGAAGCCUGAUGCAGCGACGCCGCGUGAGGGAUGACGGCCUUCGGGUUGUAAACCUCUUUCAGUAGGGAAGAAGCGAAAGUGACGGUACCUGCAGAAGAAGCGCCGGCUAACUACGUGCCAGCAGCCGCGGUAAUACGUAGGGCGCAAGCGUUAUCCGGAAUUAUUGGGCGUAAAGAGCUCGUAGGCGGUUUGUCGCGUCUGCUGUGAAAGACCGGGGCUCAACUCCGGUUCUGCAGUGGGUACGGGCAGACUAGAGUGAUGUAGGGGAGACUGGAAUUCCUGGUGUAGCGGUGAAAUGCGCAGAUAUCAGGAGGAACACCGAUGGCGAAGGCAGGUCUCUGGGCAUUAACUGACGCUGAGGAGCGAAAGCAUGGGGAGCGAACAGGAUUAGAUACCCUGGUAGUCCAUGCCGUAAACGUUGGGCACUAGGUGUGGGGGACAUUCCACGUUUUCCGCGCCGUAGCUAACGCAUUAAGUGCCCCGCCUGGGGA